UGGGGAAUUUUGGACAAUGGGGGCAACCCUGAUCCAGCCAUGCCGCGUGAGUGAAGAAGGCCUUCGGGUUGUAAAGCUCUUUCGGCCGGGAAGAAAUCGCAUGGGCUAAUACCCUGUGCGGAUGACGGUACCGGCAUAAGAAGCACCGGCUAACUACGUGCCAGCAGCCGCGGUAAUACGUAGGGUGCGAGCGUUAAUCGGAAUUACUGGGCGUAAAGCGUGCGCAGGCGGUUUUUUAAGACAGNCGUGAAAUCCCCGGGCUCAACCUGGGAACUGCGCUUGUGACUGGAAGGCUAGAGUAUGGCAGAGGGGGGUGGAAUUCCACGUGUAGCAGUGAAAUGCGUAGAGAUGUGGAGGAACACCAAUGGCGAAGGCAGCCCCCUGGGCCAAUACUGACGCUCAUGCACGAAAGCGUGGGUAGCAAACAGGAUUAGAUACCCUGGUAGUCCACGCCCUAAACGAUGUCAACUAGGUGUUGGGUGGGUAA
This 487-nucleotide ribosomal RNA is filed under the name uncultured bacterium. RNAcentral describes it as "bacterial SSU rRNA". It matches the Rfam family "Bacterial small subunit ribosomal RNA", at positions 355 to 834 of the family's 1533-position model. The record is from RNAcentral.